This is a long non-coding RNA of Sceloporus undulatus (fence lizard), 414 nucleotides long. RefSeq lists it as uncharacterized. Lineage: Eukaryota; Metazoa; Chordata; Lepidosauria; Squamata; Phrynosomatidae. The record is from RefSeq and is a predicted model, not a curated record. The transcript is spliced from 4 exons.
UGACUUUGCCCCCAGAUCCCAAGCUACCUCCCAAGCUAAUUUGUAUCGGUCCGCUGGAGCCUCCAGAACAAAUGUGGCCUCCAGGACGAGAUUAGUAGCCAGAAGGCCACCACCCAAAAGGCAAGGAAUCCUGCCAAGUAUUUGCUAUUGCUUUACCCCGGAUGUUCUCUUAUAUCUUGCAAUGCUGACAUGCUUCAUCCUAGUUUUGUCUGCAAUUGUGAUGACUCAGAUGUAUAGAGAGAAAUUAAAGAAACUGAACAGAUUAAAUACAGCUGUUAAGACUAUUACAGAAUAUGCAAUCUCAAAGGACCCAUCUCUCAAAGAAAAGAAUGAUUCUGAAAUACUGAAGAACGUGCAGAGGUCAGCAAAUACACUUGCGUUGUGGGUGUUCAAAAGCAUGGAAUUGGAAAAAGC